UACAGAGGGGGCAAGCGUUGUUCGGAAUUACUGGGCGUAAAGGGCGCGUAGGCGGCCUGUUAAGUCGAACGUGAAAUCCCCGGGCUCAACCCGGGAACUGCGUCCGAUACUGGCAGGCUUGAAUUCGGGAGAGGGAUGUGGAAUUCCAGGUGUAGCGGUGAAAUGCGUAGAUAUCUGGAGGAACACCAAUUGCGAAGGCAGCUUGCUGGGACGGUACUGACGCUGAGGCGCGAAAGCGUGGGGAGCAAACAGG
Molecule: ribosomal RNA, 253 nt
Filed under: uncultured bacterium
Lineage: Bacteria
Description: partial 16S ribosomal RNA
Rfam family: Bacterial small subunit ribosomal RNA
Source: RNAcentral